This 239-nucleotide ribosomal RNA is filed under the name uncultured bacterium. Its description in RNAcentral is "partial 16S ribosomal RNA". It matches the Rfam family "Bacterial small subunit ribosomal RNA", at positions 118 to 353 of the family's 1533-position model. The record is from RNAcentral.
UGGGUAACCUGCCUCAUACAGGGGGAGUAACAGUUGGAAACGACUGCUAAUACCGCAUAAGCGCACAGGAUUGCAUGAUCCGGUGUGAAAAACUACCGGUGGUAUGAGAUGGACCCGCGUCUGAUUAGCCAGUUGGCAGGGUAACGGCCUACCAAAGCGACGAUCAGUAGCCGACCUGAGAGGGUGACCGGCCACAUUGGGACUGAGACACGGCCCAAACUCCUACGGGAGGCAGCAUG